Molecule: ribosomal RNA, 1044 nt
Filed under: Acinetobacter sp. LS8
Lineage: Bacteria; Pseudomonadati; Pseudomonadota; Gammaproteobacteria; Moraxellales; Moraxellaceae
Description: bacterial SSU rRNA
Rfam family: Bacterial small subunit ribosomal RNA
Source: RNAcentral
CCUAGCGGCGGACGGGUGAGUAAUGCUUAGGAAUCUGCCUAUUAGUGGGGGACAACAUUCCGAAAGGAAUGCUAAUACCGCAUACGCCCUACGGGGGAAAGCAGGGGAUCUUCGGACCUUGCGCUAAUAGAUGAGCCUAAGUCAGAUUAGCUAGUUGGUGGGGUAAAGGCCUACCAAGGCGACGAUCUGUAGCGGGUCUGAGAGGAUGAUCCGCCACACUGGGACUGAGACACGGCCCAGACUCCUACGGGAGGCAGCAGUGGGGAAUAUUGGACAAUGGGCGAAAGCCUGAUCCAGCCAUGCCGCGUGUGUGAAGAAGGCCUUUUGGUUGUAAAGCACUUUAAGCGAGGAGGAGGCUACUUAGAUUAAUACUCUAGGAUAGUGGACGUUACUCGCAGAAUAAGCACCGGCUAACUCUGUGCCAGCAGCCGCGGUAAUACAGAGGGUGCGAGCGUUAAUCGGAUUUACUGGGCGUAAAGCGUGCGUAGGCGGCUUCUUAAGUCGGAUGUGAAAUCCCUGAGCUUAACUUAGGAAUUGCAUUCGAUACUGGGAAGCUAGAGUAUGGGAGAGGAUGGUAGAAUUCCAGGUGUAGCGGUGAAAUGCGUAGAGAUCUGGAGGAAUACCGAUGGCGAAGGCAGCCAUCUGGCCUAAUACUGACGCUGAGGUACGAAAGCAUGGGGAGCAAACAGGAUUAGAUACCCUGGUAGUCCAUGCCGUAAACGAUGUCUACUAGCCGUUGGGGCCUUUGAGGCUUUAGUGGCGCAGCUAACGCGAUAAGUAGACCGCCUGGGGAGUACGGUCGCAAGACUAAAACUCAAAUGAAUUGACGGGGGCCCGCACAAGCGGUGGAGCAUGUGGUUUAAUUCGAUGCAACGCGAAGAACCUUACCUGGUCUUGACAUAGUAAGAACUUUCCAGAGAUGGAUUGGUGCCUUCGGGAACUUACAUACAGGUGCUGCAUGGCUGUCGUCAGCUCGUGUCGUGAGAAGGUUGGGUUAAGUCCCGCAACGAGCGCAACCCUUUUCCUUAUUUGCCAGCGGGUUAA